UACGUAGGGGCCUAGCGUUGUCCGGAAUUAUUGGGCGUAAAGAGCUCGUAGGCGGUUCGGCAAGUCGGAUGUGAAAUCUCCACGCUCAACGUGGAGGGGCCAUUCGAAACUGCCGUGACUCGAGUCCGGUAGGGGAGUGUGGAAUUCCCGGUGUAGCGGUGAAAUGCGCAGAUAUCGGGAGGAACACCUAUGGCGAAGGCAGCUCGCUGGGACGUUACUGACGCUGAGACGCGAAAGCGUGGGGAGCAAACAGG
RNAcentral lists this ribosomal RNA (254 nucleotides) under uncultured bacterium. RNAcentral's name for it is "partial 16S ribosomal RNA". It matches the Rfam family "Bacterial small subunit ribosomal RNA", at positions 524 to 776 of the family's 1533-position model. The record is from RNAcentral.